AUGAGCCCAACCGCACCAGUGCGUCCCACACGUCCCGCGCGCACCCGACGCGCCCAACGAGGCCGACCGCACCAGACGCUCACCACGCACCGCCUCCACGUCCGCCAUGGCAGCCGCCAGCGACAAACGCCGGAAGGAUGUAGCGGAACUCGAGCACGGACUCGAGCACAACGGCGACAUACGCCUCCUCCCAACGUCAACCGCACGCUGUACGCGCGCCCGUGGUCCCGACGCGUCCAGUGCGCACCCAUAACACGCUCCAGUCGCGCCCGGCUCGCCGCCACGGCUUAUUGCCCUGCACCGCUGCGGCCUCAACCGCAGCGCAGCACCUCCAUGCUGCCAUGCCGCUGUGUGUCGUUGAAGCCGCCACCACGCAGGUCCUCCGCGUCCUCCUCACCGUGCCGACGCAGCCACCGCGGCCUCCUCGCCGCGCCGCGCACCUCCAUAGACCGACACACGGCCCGGAGCAUCGCGCAGCCGCCGGCGAACUCCGCCACCGCAGGCACGCCUCCGGCAAGGAGAACGACGCCCAAGAUGAACCAACUCAUGAUACCAAUUGUUGGUGUCUAG
RNAcentral lists this ribosomal RNA (570 nucleotides) under Triticum aestivum (bread wheat). RNAcentral describes it as "partial small subunit ribosomal RNA". Lineage: Eukaryota; Viridiplantae; Streptophyta; Magnoliopsida; Poales; Poaceae. The record is from RNAcentral.